CCUGGCGCCGAUCUCCGAUCGGUCAUCCAGAGCGCGCGCCACCAUCGCCAAGGCCAGGUCUCCUCUCUACUACCCAUUACUAUACUGGCCUAAAGGGCGAUGGCGACGGAUGGCACGCGAGCAGGUGCAGACGCCAGAAACAACACAGA
Molecule: long non-coding RNA, 149 nt
Filed under: Mesocricetus auratus (golden hamster)
Lineage: Eukaryota; Metazoa; Chordata; Mammalia; Rodentia; Cricetidae
Description: Adaptive response 33 conserved region 4 (ENSMAUG00000002464.1)
Rfam family: Adaptive response 33 conserved region 4
Source: RNAcentral